AGUAACUCAGUCUGGAUAGAGUGUUUGGCUUCGAACCAAAAAGUCGGGGGUUCAAGUCCCCUCU
This 64-nucleotide transfer RNA is filed under the name Schizochytrium aggregatum. It matches the Rfam family "tRNA", at positions 6 to 65 of the family's 71-position model. From Rfam's summary of the family: Transfer RNA (tRNA) molecules are approximately 80 nucleotides in length. Their secondary structure includes four short double-helical elements and three loops (D, anti-codon, and T loops). Further hydrogen bonds mediate the characteristic L-shaped molecular structure. tRNAs have two regions of fundamental functional importance: the anti-codon, which is responsible for specific mRNA codon recognition, and the 3' end, to which the tRNAs corresponding amino acid is attached (by aminoacyl-tRNA synthetases). tRNAs cope with the degeneracy of the genetic code in two manners: having more than one tRNA (with a specific anti-codon) for a particular amino acid; and 'wobble' base-pairing, i.e. permitting non-standard base-pairing at the 3rd anti-codon position. Lineage: Eukaryota; Bigyra; Thraustochytrida; Thraustochytriidae. The record is from RNAcentral.